Aegilops tauschii subsp. strangulata is the source of this 1558-nucleotide non-coding RNA. NCBI's taxonomy places the organism in Eukaryota, Viridiplantae, Streptophyta, Magnoliopsida, Poales, Poaceae. The record is from RefSeq and is a predicted model, not a curated record.
CGAACCAAGUCUGUAACCUACCCGUGCCAGGCUGCCAACCACCGCCCUUGCACCUUAUCCCCAUCCCCUCGUCCUCGCGCUCAACCCACGGCCCUGGCGCCGUCGCCGCCGUAUUCGCUCUCCACCACGGUCCUGCUACCGUCGCCGCCGUCCUCGCGCUCUCUCUGAGAUCCAGCCGCCAUCCUCGCGCUCCGCCCAUGAUGCAGCAACCGUCGCCGCGCUCUGCCCGGGAUCGAGCCGCCGUCCUCCGCGCUCUGCCUGAGAUCCAUCCGCCGUCCUCGCGCUCAUGGAUCCACCCCCUCCCCUGAUCCCCGUCCUCCAGCCCCCAACUUUGUCUGCCAUCUCCCUCGCGCUUCUCCCCUGCCGCUCCCCGGGCCCCAGCCCUACCAUGAGCUCUCCAUCCGUGCUCCCCGUUCCUACUGCCGCUGAUAGAGAUCCAUCCACGAGCUCUCCAUCCCGCUGCGCCCCUCCCAAAGCCAGCCGUCUGUUGCUGCAGAUAUCCGCACAGACUCGUCUUUUCCAAUAGGAGCGGUUGUACAUGAUGUUGAGCCUACAGGGCAGCAAGUACGUGGUACUACCUGUCAACGAGGACGAGGAGGUGGGCGAGCGGAGGGCGCCGAGGUGGACCCUGAGUCCAGUCAGCGUUUGAGGAGGCACAUUCCAAUUUUAUUCUCCAUCACUUUUGAAUACACUGGAUAUUUAUGAAUAACGGUGUCUUUGUUUGAUAUAAUUUUUUUAUGUGAGCACGGUGAAGUUUUCCUUUUUCAUGAAUAUGGCACUAGCAUUCAAACCUUAGGUUCAACAUAUAAUCUCAUCUUCCUCUGCAUCCACAUACCUUCAACUACUUGAAGCUGGAUAUGGUUUCCAGAGGGGAGUUGCAAGUUCCAAUCACAUUCAAACCUUAGAGGCCGCCUUGGUGCAGUGGCUAGAUAGUUUCAGAAUUCAGACUUUCAAUGUAAUUUUAUGAGAUGUUAAUGUUCAUUCUGGUUGAUGGCAUAAUAUUUGUUCUUUUGACAAGUUCAUUCAUUAUACUAACCAAGUACAUAACUUGCAGACCUUUGGCCUUUACUUUAUGAUUUGAUUUAUGGGAAGUCGAGUUAUCUAUAUUGAACACAUUUUUCCUUUUUUCCAGGAUGGUUGAUACAUGUCUCUACACAUUUUGUCAGAGCAAUUUGCAGUGGAAGAAGUAGCCUCAAACUGAUAAGAAGGCACCUGCUAUUUCACGGUUAUUGUUGUAGAUCAAGGAUGACAAGAAGGCAACUAAUGUACCAGGUGCAGGUAAUCAGCAACAGAUGUGAUGACUUUGAAGUGUUCUGGAGCAUUUGGCUGUCUAUAGUAUUUUGGACCAGCCAACUUAAUUGUAAUCGUGAAUCUUAUGUGUUUUCUAGACCAUUUGGUGCUCAAGUGUUAUGGAGUAGAAAUCUUGUGCUCAUGGAUGUUACUCAAUUAUUUGGACCAUCUAGUGUUUGAACUAUUUUAGACCAGUGAAUUGGGGUCCUUUUAUGUGACUUGUGUUUUCUGGAUGGUUGCCAAGAUGGCCAAGCUUUGCUUUUGUGAA